This is a non-coding RNA of Brachypodium distachyon (stiff brome), 125 nucleotides long. The record is from Rfam. NCBI's taxonomy places the organism in Eukaryota, Viridiplantae, Streptophyta, Magnoliopsida, Poales, Poaceae.
AUAUUACUCUCUCCGUUCCAUAUUAAGUGUCUCAAAUUUGUUCAAACAUGAAUGUAUAUAUACCUAAAAAACGUCUAGAUACAUGUAAUGUUUCGACACUUAGUAUGGGACGGAGGGAGUAGGAU